RNAcentral lists this ribosomal RNA (460 nucleotides) under uncultured bacterium. RNAcentral describes it as "partial 16S ribosomal RNA". It matches the Rfam family "Bacterial small subunit ribosomal RNA", at positions 338 to 795 of the family's 1533-position model. The record is from RNAcentral.
CCUACGGGAGGCAGGAGUGAGGAAUAUUGGACAAUGGACGCAAGUCUGAACCAGCCAUGCCGCGUGCAGGAUGAAGGCCCUCUGAGUUGUAAACUGCUUUUGUACGAGGGUAAACCCCGAUACGUGUAUCGUUUUGAACGUAUCGUACGAAUACGGCUCGGCUGACUCCGUGCCAGCAGCCGGGGUAAUCCGGAGGAUCCGAGCGUUAUGCGGUUUGUUUGGGUUUAAAGGGGGCGUUGGCGGAUUGAUAAGUUAGAGGUGAAAUGGCGGGGCUCAACCCCGAAACUGCCGCUAAUACUGUUGGACUAGAGAAUAGUAGCGGUAGGCGGAAUGUAUGGUGUAGCGGUGAAAUGCUUAGAGAUUAGACAGAACACCGAUUGCGAAGGCAGCUUACCAAGCUAUAUCUGACGUUGAGGCACGAAAGCGUGGGUAGCAAACAGGAUUAGAUACCCGAGUAGUC